GUUUUUAGACAAAGUGUUGUUUCCAGACGGACCCUCGCGCACCUUCUUCAUUUAUUAUGUCAGUAUGAGCGAUUUUAUUGUAUUUUCUGGUAUAAUUUCAGGUAUUUACCGCGGAUAAUUUAAGUAUGGCAAUGAAACGGAAAGUCGAGCUGGUGGUUCCGGCCGAGGAGAGCGACCAGCUCCUGAUUCGUCCUCUUGGAGCUGGCCAGGAGGUCGGGAGAUCUUGUAUCAUCCUGGAAUUCAAAGGGAGGAAGAUAAUGCUGGACUGUGGCAUCCAUCCAGGUUUAGAGGGAAUGGACGCGCUUCCCUACAUCGACCUGAUCGACCCGGCUGAGAUCGACCUCCUCCUCAUCAGCCAUUUUCACCUGGAUCACUGCGGCGCUCUGCCCUGGUUCCUCCAGAAGACCAGCUUUAAGGGCCGGACCUUCAUGACCCACGCCACCAAGGCCAUCUACCGCUGGCUGCUGUCAGACUACGUCAAAGUCAGCAACAUCUCUGCAGAUGACAUGCUGUACACUGAGACGGACCUGGAGGACAGCAUGGACAAGAUUGAGACCAUCAACUUCCAUGAGGUUAAGGAGGUGGCUGGGAUCAAGUUUUGGUGCUACCAUGCUGGUCACGUGCUGGGGGCGGCCAUGUUUAUGAUCGAAAUCGCUGGAGUUAAGCUGCUGUACACAGGAGACUUCUCCAGACAGGAAGACAGACAUCUGAUGGCAGCUGAGAUCCCCAGCGUCAAACCGGACAUCUUAAUUAUAGAGUCGACCUACGGCACCCACAUCCACGAGAAGAGGGAGGAGCGCGAGGCUCGCUUCUGCAACACCGUCCACGACAUCGUGAACCGGGAGGGCCGCUGUCUGAUCCCCGUGUUCGCCCUGGGACGGGCCCAGGAACUGCUGCUCAUCCUGGACGAGUACUGGCAGAACCACCCAGAACUCCACGACAUCCCCAUCUACUACGCCUCGUCUCUGGCCAAGAAGUGCAUGGCCGUCUACCAGACCUACGUGAACGCCAUGAACGACAAGAUCCGCAAGGCCAUCAACAUCAACAACCCCUUCGUGUUCAAGCACAUCAGCAACCUGAAGAGCAUGGACCACUUCGACGACAUCGGCCCCAGCGUGGUGAUGGCGUCUCCGGGGAUGAUGCAGAGCGGUCUCUCCAGGGAGCUCUUUGAGAGCUGGUGCACCGAUAAGAGGAACGGAGUAAUCAUCGCCGGGUACUGCGUGGAGGGCACGCUGGCUAAGCACAUCAUGUCCGAGCCAGAGGAGAUCACCACCAUGUCCGGACAGAAGCUGCCGCUGAAGAUGUCCGUGGACUACAUCUCCUUCUCCGCCCACACCGACUACCAGCAGACCAGCGAGUUCAUCCGGGCCCUCAAACCGCCACACGUGAUCCUGGUUCACGGGGAGCAGAACGAGAUGGCCCGGCUGAAGGCGGCGCUCAUCAGGGAGUACGAGGACAACGACCAGGUUCACAUCGAAGUGCACAACCCGCGCAACACGGAGGCUGUCACUCUGAACUUCAGAGGAGAGAAGCUGGCUAAGGUGAUGGGUUCCCUGGCCGAUAGGAAAUGUGCUCAGGGUCAGAGAGUGUCCGGCAUACUGGUGAAGAAGAACUUCAAUUACCACAUCCUGAAUCCUUCUGACCUGUCAACGUACACGGAGCUGGCCAUGAGCACGGUGAAGCAGACCCAGGCCAUCCCCUUCACCGGGCCGUACUCGCUGCUCGUCUGCCACCUGAGGAACCUCACAGGAGACGUGGAGGAGCUGGACGGGACCGAGAAGAAAACCCUAAAGGUCUUUAAAAACAUCACUCUGAUCCAUGAGGUCGGCAUGGUGGUGCUGGAGUGGGCAGCCAACCCUCUGAAUGACAUGUAUGCUGACGCCGUCACCACGGUGGUGCUGGAGGUCCAGUCCAACCCAAAAGCUCAGAAAGUCAUGGAGACGCAGGGCGCCAUCAUGGACAUGGACGUCUUCCAGGCCCGGUUAGAGGUCAUGCUGCACGACAUGUUUGGAGAGGAGUGUGUGGACUUCAGCGACGGGAAACUCAUUUCUGUGACGGUGGACGGGCAGACGGUCCACGUCAGCUUGGAGACGCGGUCGGUUUACCCCGAGGACGACGCCACAGACGACGACUCCCUGAGAGAGAUGGUGGAGCUGGCGGUGCAGCGGCUCUACGACGCCCUCAACCCAGUGAUCUGACCAUCGGGCCAGAAAACUACAACUCCCAUCUGCUCUCCCAGAGCGGCUUUACACGAGGGAAAUAAGCUAUUUGAGUAGUUCUCAUAUUUUUAAUCUUCAAGCACUUUAGGUUUGAAAAUCUUCCAGCACUGAUUUUACCCAUUUGUUUGACUCGUGAAGAAGUUAAACACCUGUUGGGAGGAAGAACAAACAGCAACUGCAACAAACGCCAAUCAGCCUCAUCCGUCCAGGCGAGGAAGACCGUCUACUUGCAUCUUUUUUAAAUUUGUUGUGCAAUCAAGCCACGAGGAAUAAAAUCAGACUAAAGUUUAAAGCUAGUGAAAUGUGAGACUUUUCAGGGGACUGGUCUCACAGCAGGGGGCCCCUGUACAAACCCCCCCUGGCAGUUACAAUCGCUCGCUGUUCCUCAACAGCAGCAAUGGAGCCCACGAACAUUUGCAGUGUCUGUUUUCUGGAAAACCAGCAUGGGAACUGAACAGCCGACUGCCCUGCAGACGGUCUGCUUGUAACGUUUCUCAGCUGUUACAGGAAAGCUGAUCUGAAGUCAGAUAGAAACUACAGAACGUGUAUUUUUACAGUGUAAAAAGUAUCAGAGUGAGAGGAACAGGAUGAAAAUAAAACUAGAUCUCAUUGAGUUGUUUCAGAAAGAUUCUAGGAAUAAAAGCUAUCAGACCAUAUUUAAUUUUUUUUUUAUUUAAAUAUUUUAUAUUUGUU
Fundulus heteroclitus (mummichog) is the source of this 2912-nucleotide RNA transcript. It is a transcript of the gene named cleavage and polyadenylation specificity factor subunit 3, with no coding region annotated. NCBI's taxonomy places the organism in Eukaryota, Metazoa, Chordata, Actinopteri, Cyprinodontiformes, Fundulidae. The transcript is spliced from 19 exons. The record is from RefSeq and is a predicted model, not a curated record.